RNAcentral lists this ribosomal RNA (218 nucleotides) under uncultured Caryophanales bacterium. Its description in RNAcentral is "uncultured Bacillales bacterium partial 16S ribosomal RNA". It matches the Rfam family "Bacterial small subunit ribosomal RNA", at positions 122 to 334 of the family's 1533-position model. The record is from RNAcentral. Lineage: Bacteria; Bacillati; Bacillota; Bacilli; Caryophanales.
GAACCUGCCUCAUAGACUGGGACAACUAUUGGAAACGAUAGCUAAUACCGGAUAACAGUAUUUCUCGCAUGAGAGAUAUUUAAAAGUUGGUUAUGCUAACACUAUGAGAUGGCUUUGCGGUGCAUUAGCUAGUUGGUGGGGUAAAGGCCCACCAAGGCGACGAUGCAUAGCCGACCUGAGAGGGUGAUCGGCCACACUGGGACUGAGACACGGCCCAG